RNAcentral lists this ribosomal RNA (1120 nucleotides) under uncultured marine alveolate. RNAcentral describes it as "SSU rRNA". It matches the Rfam family "Eukaryotic small subunit ribosomal RNA", at positions 578 to 1727 of the family's 1831-position model. The record is from RNAcentral.
GUCAGCUUUCGCUCCAUAGCGUAUAUUAAAGUUGUUGCGGUUAAAAAGCUCGUAGUUGAAUUCCUGUAUGGAAGGGGCGUCCCCACCCUUUGGAUGGGGGUUGCUACCUUCUUUGCAUCUUCCGGAGUAGAUGUUCCUCACUUAACUGUGAGGACAUCGUGCUCGGGUCAUUUACUUUGAGGAAAAGAGAGUGCUCCAAGCAGGCAAACGCCUGAAUACGUUAGCAUGGAAUAAUAGCAUCGGAUCAUCGUUCAGCUGUUGGUGUCUGGACGAGGAUAAAGGUGAACAGGGAUUGUUGGGGGCAUUCGUAUUUAACUGUCAGAGGUGAAAUUCUUGGAUUUGUUGAAGACGAGCUACUGCGUAAGCAUUUGCCAAAGAUGUUCUCAUUGAUCAAGAACGAAAGUUAGGUGAUCGAAGACGGUCAGAUACCGUCCUAGUCUUAACCAUAAACUAUGCCAACUGGAGAUAGGACGUGCUUAUUUUACGACUCUUCCUGCAUCUUGAGAGAAAUCAAAGUCUUUGGGUUCCGGGGGGAGUAUGGUCGCAAGGCUGAAACUUAAAGGAAUUGACGGAAGGGCACCACCAGGAGUGGAGCCUGCGGCUUAAUUUGACUCAACACGGGGAAACUUACCAGGUCCGGACAUAGGUAGGAUUGACAGACUGAGAGCUCUUUCUAGAUUCUAUGGGUGGUGGUGCAUGGCCGUUCUUAAUUGGUGGAGUGAUUUGUCUGGUUAAUUCCGUUAACGAACGAGACCUUAACCUGCUAAAUAGAUACGGGAACCUAUCUAGGUUCGCGAUGAUCUUCUUAGAGGGACGUCGCGUGUCUAACGCGAGGAAGUGUGAGGCAAUAACAGGUCUGUGAUGCCCUUAGAUGUUCUGGGCUGCACGCGCGCUACACUGAUGCGUGCAGCAAGUAUACCUUGAUCGAGAGAUUUGGGUAAUCUUGUAAAAGCGCAUCGUGAUGGGGAUAGAUUCUUGCAAUUGUUAAUCUUCAACGAGGAAUUCCUAGUAAGCACGAGUCAUCAACUCGUGCUGAUUACGUCCCUGCCCUUUGUACCCACCGCCCGUCGCUCCUACCGAUUGGAGUGAUCCGGUGAAUAAUUCGGACCUGGCGAAAGGG